AUUGAACGCUGGCGGCAUGCCUUACACAUGCAAGUCGAACGGUAACAGGUCUUCGGAUGCUGACGAGUGGCGAACGGGUGAGUAAUACAUCGGAACGUGCCCAGACGUGGGGGAUAACGAGGCGAAAGCUUUGCUAAUACCGCAUACGAUCUAAGGAUGAAAGCAGGGGACCGCAAGGCCUUGCGCGUUUGGAGCGGCCGAUGGCAGAUUAGGUAGUUGGUGGGAUAAAAGCUUACCAAGCCGACGAUCUGUAGCUGGUCUGAGAGGACGACCAGCCACUCGGGGACUGUGACAGGGCCCAGACUCCUACGGGGGGCGGCAGUGGGGAAUUUGGGACAAUGGGCGAAAGACUGAUCCAGCGAUGCCGCGUGCAGGAUGAAGGCCUUCGGGUUGUAAACUGCUUUUGUACGGAACGAAAAGGCUCUGGCUAAUACCUGGGGCACAUGACGGUACCGUAAGAAUAAGCACCGGCUAACUACGUGCCAGCAGCCGCCGCCG
This 498-nucleotide ribosomal RNA is filed under the name uncultured bacterium. RNAcentral's name for it is "partial 16S ribosomal RNA". It matches the Rfam family "Bacterial small subunit ribosomal RNA", at positions 29 to 523 of the family's 1533-position model. The record is from RNAcentral.